ACGAACAGUUGGAAACGACUGCUAAUACCGCAUAAGACUACAGUACCGCAUGGUACAGUGAUCAAAGGAUUUAUUUCGCUGAAGGAUGGCUUCGCGUCCGAUUAGGUAGUUGGUGAGGUAACGGCCCACCAAGCCUACGAUCGGUAGCCGGACUGAGAGGUUGAUCGGCCACAUUGGGACUGAGACACGGCCCAGACUCCUACGGGAGGCAGCAUG
Molecule: ribosomal RNA, 216 nt
Filed under: uncultured bacterium
Lineage: Bacteria
Description: partial 16S ribosomal RNA
Rfam family: Bacterial small subunit ribosomal RNA
Source: RNAcentral